RNAcentral lists this RNase P RNA (485 nucleotides) under Hymenobacter latericoloratus. RNAcentral describes it as "RNase P class A". It matches the Rfam family "Bacterial RNase P class A". From Rfam's summary of the family: Ribonuclease P (RNase P) is a ubiquitous endoribonuclease, found in archaea, bacteria and eukarya as well as chloroplasts and mitochondria. Its best characterised activity is the generation of mature 5'-ends of tRNAs by cleaving the 5'-leader elements of precursor-tRNAs. RNAcentral also lists the same sequence under 1 other name. Lineage: Bacteria; Pseudomonadati; Bacteroidota; Cytophagia; Cytophagales; Hymenobacteraceae. The record is from RNAcentral.
GUGAUGGGUCGCCCCACCGCGGCGCCCGACGCAAGAACGGCGACGAGGAAAGUCCGGGCAACACAGAGCACCCUGCUUCCUAACGGGAAGGACGGCGUGGCGUAAAGCUGCGCCGGACAGCCAGUGCCACAGAAAAGUACCGCCAGUUUUUAAGGGCAGGCGGGUAAGAAGGUAGGAGGGCAAGGGGGUUACCUCCCAAACUCUUACCCUAACACCGGCCUACCCUGCCAAAACCGGUAAGGGUGAAAAGGUGCGGUAAGAGCGCACCAGCGGCUGGGUGACUAUGCCGGCUGGGUAAACCUCAGGGGUUGAAAGACCAAAUAAGCUGGCACGUCGGCCCUUUCGGGGGCCGGCACCGGGCGGCUCGCCUGGGCGCCAGCGGGUAGGUUGAUGGAGCCUUUCCGCGAGGACUGGCCUAGAUAAAUGGUGGGGCCGCCGCUGCUUGCAGAGGCGGACAAAACCCGGCUUACAGACUCAUCACCACG